RNAcentral lists this long non-coding RNA (3624 nucleotides) under Eutrema salsugineum. RNAcentral describes it as "long non-coding RNA (ESAL_LNC001651)". Lineage: Eukaryota; Viridiplantae; Streptophyta; Magnoliopsida; Brassicales; Brassicaceae. The record is from RNAcentral.
UUAAACAUCCCAAGUUAUGUAUACCAAAUAACAACGUGUUCUCAUGUCUUAAGAAAAAAAAAAGAAGAAAGAAAGAAGAAGAACUCACAGGAUCCUUGCGAAAGCGUUUCUGUUCUCUUGAAGAGUCCAUUGGUCUUCUGCGCCAGAGGCAUAGUAGUCGUAUACCAUCUUAGGCAACUUCUGCUUUGCGAUAGCUUCAUACUCGGUAACGUUUGUGAUCUCCAUUUUCCGAUGCUGGUCUGUCAAAAGAGCAAAAAGGCCUGAGUUAAUAAGUUAGCUGUAGUGAAACUCAAGAGAUAGUGCACGAACGCAAAACACAAUCUGGUUUGUUGUUAGUCUUAACACACAGAAUCUCACACACCUUUGAUGGGGAUGGAGCUCUCGGGAGAGAUGAAGGGUGUGACUGGUAACGCUUAUAUUAUCAUAUAUCUCACAAUGUUUUAUUAUUGGUUAAAAGUUAAAUACACCUGUAAUGUAUUAAUUGGCUUGUGAAAUAUAUUUUCUAACAAGUGAAAAUUGUUGGCAGAGGAAAAAUAAUAUGGAUGAGAAGCUGAAGGUGAAGAAUGGAUGAGAAGAUACGGACAAGGAUCAGAUGGGGUUGUGUGUAUCUAAUUCACUAGCAACUUGUGUGUUCCCUAAAUUUUCUUUCAUAUUAUCGUGCUUAAUCUCAUGGGGAGAAAAAAAAAAAAAUCGUAAACCAAUUGGUUUUCAUUCUUUUGAAAGGACAUAAAUAAAUCCGAGUGGAUGAUGAUAUGGAAGAGAAACUAAAAAGCGUGCGAGGAAGAAGAGCCGGAUUUUACAGGCCUAGUUAUAAACCUUAAAGCCCAAAUACUAUUGGGCUUAACAAUGGGAGAAAGAGUCCAUAAUUUGUUGAUGCAGAUAAUCAAAGUAUAGUCGUUUCUGUGAGUGUGCCCGUGUUAAAUAUUUAAGCUGUUGUUUUGAUUGAGAAGAUGGAAAAUGCUCAGUGAAGAAGAGCACGAAAAGGGGGAAAAAGAAAAACAGAGACAGAGUCCAUAACUUUUAUACAUUUAUCGAUUUCAAUGGCGGACCGGAGCAGGGGCUUUCUGAGAUGAUUUUUGGGACAUGUGCUCUUACAUUCUUCUCUAUAUCGCCAUUUCAACCGGUCAAAUCUCUUAUUCAGUAAGGUUUCACUUAAAAUUUCACAGCUUCUCUGUAUCUACGUUCUCGCAUCGUUUUGUUCUGUGCACUUUCGAUUUGUGAACCGAUCUCUAGUUGUCUCUAUUGUAUAAGUAAGAAGAUUGUACUGAAGGUAGAAGUAGCCAAAUAGCAUUACAGAGAGAAUCUGUAGUCAUGUUUUGUGAUUUUCGAUAUAGCGAGAGAAACAAGUUUUGAGAUAAAAAAGGAAAAAAAGCAGAGUUUAAGCCAAGUAUGAAGUGAGCAAUGAUAAGAAUAAAGUGUAGCCAUUACAUGCCCUGUCUUGUUGCUGUUCUCUGGUGGUUGUUUCUUUUCUUUCCUCUACAACCUGGGCAAAUGGCGCGGCGUGUCCCAUUCGGUGACAAUGUGGUUGCGCGUAAUUUCACUGAGAGACCGGCACCCACUUAGUGCCAUGGUUAGCUCGAACUCAUCGCGUAGCAUUUGAAGCACCUUUCUCACUCCAGCUUCUCCUUCAGCAGCCAGUGAGAAUACCACUGGUCUCCCAAUCUGAGACCGAGAGGGCAAUUAUCAAUAACGUGACAGUUAUCAAUGGUUUCAACCAGUGUAAAUGGAGAUAUGAUGCUUACAAAUAUCCCUGAGGCUCCAAGUGCAAGUGCCUUGAAGACAUCAGUUCCACGUCGAACACCACCAUCCAAGAAGACAGGAACUCUUCCCUGUGUCGCCUUGACAACCUGAACACACGAGAACAGUGCUGAAUUUGCUGAUUCAAGAACACAAUUUGACCUUUAUAGCCUUGAAUGAUCUACCUCUUCCAGAGCUGAGAUUGUUGCUGGCACAUAGUCGAGCUGGCGAGCUCCAUGGUUUGACACAAUGAUCCCUGCUGCUCCAGCUUGAAUCGCUAUCCUUGCUGCAAUGAGGACAAUAAUUGUUGAUCUUGUCAAGUAUUGGAAACUUUUAAGUGAUGGAAACAUUUCAUUUUUCAGAUAGUAACUGACCAUCCUCCCCUGUAAGAACACCCUUGACAAGAAUGGGCAUGCUGGUGAUUGUCUGGAGCCACUGGACGUCCUGUUUGUGUAGAUGGAAGUUAGAGAAAUCUGAAUCAAACAAUCAAGUUUUGCGAUGCUAAUUUAUGGUACUCUUUUACCUUCCAGCUCAAGGUACGGUCAAUUUGACCAGCAACAUAUGAAGCCAAACCAGAGUCAUUGGCCUGCAGGUGGACACAUAACAAGCUCAGGAACACUUAGGAAACGUAAACAUAACAAGUCUGCUUUAAGACUUGUUUCAUGAGUAGAUCACUGCCAUUAUUCAGACGAUAUAUGCUUACCUCAUCCAUCUUUCCGAGGUCAAGACCUUCAAAGUUCUUCAGUGUCAGGUUUGAAGGCAAAGUGAAUCUGUGUAGAAGAACACAAAUCGUUACUUCACAAUUUUUUUUGCUAUCUGUUUGCAUGUUUCUAUCCAAUCAACUCUUGCUGUAUACUUUCUUGCUAUGUAUUUGCAUAUUAAAUUUCAAUCAACUCUUGUCACAUUUCAACUGACUUGGCUUUACCUGUUCUUGAUAUCAGACUCUCUCCGGCCUAGCCUUGGGGUGUCUACGGUGAGAGCAAUGGCUUUGAAUCCAGCCUUCUCGGCUCUUCUCACGAGCUGCUCAACCACCUUCCUAUUCUUGUAUACCUACUCACAACGAUCAUAACUUGUGAAACCAUCAGAUGUGACCAAGUUUAUCAGGGUGUACGACAAACCACUGAAGGUACUUACAUAGAGCUGGAAGAAUCGGAUCCCUGGUCCUGUGGAAGCAACUUCUUCAACACUGGAAGUAGCCCAUGAAGAAAGCGUCUGAAAGUAUCAUGGAAGAAAACAAGUCAAACCGGUAUGCAUAAAUGGUGGAUUAACAAGCUCUAAACACCGAAAAGGUUAAGAGUCUUGCUUUGAAUGAAACCAUUUGUGACAGUAUAAUAUAACAUACCAUGAUGGUUCCAGCUGCAGAAGCAGCUCUAGCCGUAGCAUACUCCCCUGCAUUAGUUUCCAUCAGAACAAGCCUUAGUCUCUGUCUCUAUUGAUACUAAAGCAAGUUUUCACUCUCUAUAACAUAACUCGGUUUUACUGAAUGUCUUGCAGGAAAAGGCAGACGUCAUUUACCUUCUGGAUGAGCCAUCUUUUGCAUGGCAGUAGGAGCAACCAUGAUCGGCAUCGAGAUUUUGAAUCCCAAGACGGUUGUUGUCAUAUCAAUUUUGUUCACAUCAAUCAGAAUCCGAGGACGAAAGCUGUUAAAACAUGGCAAAGGUAUGUAUAUCAAAUCACAUCUCUUGUAAAACCAAUAAAAUAGUGUAUCUUAUCUUAAGAAUAAAAGGAAAAACUCACAGGAUCCUUGCGAAAGCGUUUCUGUUCUCUUGAAGAGUCCAUUGGUCCUCUGCACCAGAAGCAUAGUAGUCGUAUACCAUCUUAGGCAACUUCUGCUUUGCGAUUGCUUCAUACUCGGUAACGUUUGUGAUCUCCAUUUUCGGAUGUUAA